GCCAGUCAGCAGCCGCGGUAAUACUGAGGGUGCAAGCGUUAAUCGGAAUUACUGGGCGUAAAGCGCGCGUAGGCGGUCUGGUCAGUCAGAUGUGAAAGCCCCGGGCUUAACCUGGGAACUGCAUUUGAAACUGCCAGACUAGAGUGUGGUAGAGGGAAGUGGAAUUCCGCGUGGAGCGGUGAAAUGCGUAGAGAUGCGGAGGAACACCAGUGGCGAAGGCGACUUCCUGGACCAACACUGACGCUCAGGUGCGAAAGCGUGGGGAGCAAACAGGAUUAGAUACCCUGGUAGUCCACGCCGUAAACGAUGUCUACUAGCCGUUGGGGGGCUUGUCUCCUUAGUGGCGUAGCUAACGCGAUAAGUAGACCGCCUGGGGAGUACGGUCGCAAGACUAAAACUCAAGGAAUUGGCGGGGGAGCACGGUCUG
This 427-nucleotide ribosomal RNA is filed under the name gamma proteobacterium SCGC AAA240-A02. Its description in RNAcentral is "SSU rRNA". It matches the Rfam family "Bacterial small subunit ribosomal RNA", at positions 505 to 932 of the family's 1533-position model. Lineage: Bacteria; Pseudomonadati; Pseudomonadota; Gammaproteobacteria. The record is from RNAcentral.